Numida meleagris (helmeted guineafowl) is the source of this 1523-nucleotide long non-coding RNA. RefSeq lists it as uncharacterized. The transcript is spliced from 4 exons. The record is from RefSeq and is a predicted model, not a curated record. NCBI's taxonomy places the organism in Eukaryota, Metazoa, Chordata, Aves, Galliformes, Numididae.
GGGUCUCAAGCACUGCACACCUUCCGAUGUGUGUCCCAGCCGUUUUUUGCCCGUAGCCAACGCAGCGUUGAGGUGAUUCUGCAGCUGGUGCACACAACAGGAAUGUUAACAACAUGAUAAAAGCUUGAUACGUGUUCUUUCUCUCUAACCUACUGCUGUGAUCCAGAUGAGGACUGCCAGUAGGAUUGAAGACCCACAGUGCCAUGUGCAUGACGCUAUACCAAAUGUAUGCAUUGUUCUCCAAGAGUAUUCAAAAGUGAAAAAUGAUCUCAGGUGCAGAUAUUUCUUUAUGUUAUUCCCCUUGCAUACCUCCACUUCUUCUCUCACAGGCACUUCCUGGUACUUAUGUAAACACUUCAGCAGAUUGCAGGUCUGUUAGAGACCCAGGCGUUUGGCAGGACAAUAAAUAACCCUUAGCCUUGCAUUCUCACUCAUGCAGUCCUCAUGGACGCGUUUGCAUCUAGGAGUAUGCAUAAGGAUUACUGCACAAGAAAACUAACCUUAAAAGAAAAAAAAUAAAAGCGGAUGACGGAAGGUCAGAAUAAUUUAUGUGAAAUAUCAAUAAGCUGUCACAACAAAAACAAAACAUUUUUCCCUCCUUUCUCUAUUCUUAUCAGCAAAUAUCCUUACAUGCACCCCUGCCAGCAUCUCAGCUGAUGGUUGUGCACGUGGGCUUACAUGGGCAGUAGUGAGUAUGCAACAUAUGACUUGUGCAGAGCUACCAUAGUGUGCACACAGAGAAGCUCAGCUGACAGGAGAGCUUUGUUGGGAAGACAUCUGUUUUUUCUUCAGUGCUAAAAGACCAUGAAAAGAAGAAUCGAUUGGCAUCACAAAAAGCGUAGGUCAUGUGCGGAGCUGGAGCAGGAGGAGAAAUGACUUUGAAUACUGUCUGUCUGAACAAAAGCCAUUACCCUUCCACCCCACUGCACCUUGGAACUGACUCAAGUCCCUGCAUGGGACACCAAGCCCAGCUGCAGCCCCUCACCGGCCAUGGCCAACCCUGCGCAGAGGAACUGAGGAGUGCCAAAGGAGGUCUGCAUUUCAUUCCCAGCAACACGGAGAAAAUCUGCAGAGGCCAUACAGGGCGUAGCUGGGUCCAACUCACAGAGAACUCAGUGGAAAUGGAGUCUCCAGGUUCAGAAGAAUUUUGUUGUAUUCCAGCUGGCAGUACAACCCCUCUCAGUCCCCCCAGCACAGGACCUGCUGCUGACAGGGUAGCCAGGGGCUAGACAUCAGGACUCUGUCUCUCCCAAAUGAAACACCAUGAUCUUGGAUCCUGAUGUGAUGACGUAAAGUGGCCAAAUUCAGUAACAGCGAGAACUGAGUCCUUCCAUGGUCUUUCUUAACCACCGCUGAGUCCACGUCUGAAGGUUUAUAAUGGGUUAUAAUGGAGCAACCUCUUUGGACUACUACAAGGCAUUGUAAUUCAGAGAAGCCCUUGGGCUGCCUUCAGUUACUUAUGAGACCCUACUGUCUUCUGCUAGCCCUGGAAAUUAAAAGAAUAAAACAGUUCUAUGCAGUCA